Molecule: long non-coding RNA, 583 nt
Filed under: Marmota monax (woodchuck)
Lineage: Eukaryota; Metazoa; Chordata; Mammalia; Rodentia; Sciuridae
Source: RNAcentral
GCUCUGAACCUUGAUUGCCAUGGCCACAGCUCAGUCACCACCUACCAAGGUCCCACCAGCUGCACAAGUCCUGGCAUGGCACUAGCAGAAGGGAGAUUACUGGGGAAAAGAUGUGCUCCAAGUUGAAAUGAAGUAGGCCAAAGAGUAACUAAAAACUGUUCAAAACUACAGAGUUCUUCUGUCAAAACAAACACAGGAAAUAAUUUUUAAAUCAUUAGUGUGAUUUCAUUAUAACCCUAGUCUUGUUUUUCACAGGAUUUUUAGUAAGUAUAUUAAAGGUCCUCAUCACUAGUCAUUAUGUUAAAACCUGCACAACAAACAGAUGUGAAUUGACAUUAGUAACAUCAAGGGAUGCAGAGUGUAAGGGAGGACAGUGUUUUAAGGUGACUGAAGUCAAAUUAUUACCAGCUCAUGUUAAGAUGUUAUACAUUUAGUGUGUUAUAUUUCAACCCAAUUUCACCAAAACAAAGGAAAUAAUAAGCUGUCAUAUGCACAGGAAAAGAGAAAAUGAGAAGGAAAUAAAAAUAUUUUACCCCAAAAUCCAUUAAAGAUAAAGGAGGAGAUAGACAAAAAGACAUGAGGC